Scophthalmus maximus (turbot) is the source of this 928-nucleotide long non-coding RNA. RefSeq lists it as uncharacterized. The record is from RefSeq and is a predicted model, not a curated record. The transcript is spliced from 3 exons. NCBI's taxonomy places the organism in Eukaryota, Metazoa, Chordata, Actinopteri, Pleuronectiformes, Scophthalmidae.
GAAUCUCCGCCCUUGAACUGUGAGACACCGGAGCGCAGAGACGCCAUUGUUUUCUCUCGGCAAGCGACGGACGGACCGCUAGCAUAAUGCCGAAAAAAGUAAAUAACAUGUGCCUGUUGUUGGCUGUACAGACCAACAUAAACCUGUACAUGGACUCCCAGCCUCAGAGGACACAAGAGCAGGUGGAUUGACUUUAUUUUUGAUGGAAAUGUUGGUGAAAAGCUGCGAGUGUGUGGAACCACUUUGUCGGACUGUUCUUCAAGCCGGGGCCAGUGCAACACCGGACUGGAAGAAAAGCUUUUUUUGCAAGAUGGAGCAAUUCCAACUGUCCGUGGCGAAGCUACAGAGGAGAGACAUAGUACAUCACACCAAUCGGCAACACCCAUGUUCCACGGUUUAAAGAACCAUGUAUAUUGGAGUGCAACCUCUUCAACCUCAGGGACUGAGAAGGUGGCCAAGUGGACUUCACUGUUAAACAACAUUCAAAACAUCCAUGGGAAUGAAGAUCCCCUCUUCCCCAAAAACAAAGAAGGGUGAAGCCACCACAAAGCCUGCUAAAACAGAACCCAAAUUCAAUUAUUUGGGUACAUGAUGAGGAUGGUGUUUGAGGACCCAGCACCAUUUGUGGAGAUGAAAAAAUCCCCACCCCCAAGGAUCUGUCAUCCCAAUAUGACAGGCCGUGAAAAGGAGGAAGUGGUUGCUCGCCACAAGUCAGGCUUCAGUCAAGGGGCAGUCGGAAGCCAACAUACUGGUCAGCUGGAUCAGGAAACUCCUGGCGGAUCCGGAGCAUGGCGCGAUGAGGACCCUGUUGUGGCGUCCCACAGCACCAACUGCGAGAAAAACAUUGAGGCAUUAUUGCAGUUGCAAAUUGCCUCUACUGCUUUAUUUUGGAAAAGUGUAUAUUUCUGGUUUCCUCAAAUUCGCAAAA